ACGAACGCUGGCGGCGCGCUUAACACAUGCAAGUCGAACGCUCUGGGGCAACUCAGGGAGUGGCGAACGGGUGCGUAACACGUGGGUAAUCUGCCUCCGAGGUCGGGAUAACUCGCCGAAAGGCGAGCUAAUACCGGAUAUGCUCACGUUUCCGAGAGGAAGAGUGAGGAAAGGCGAAAGCCGAUCGGAGAUGAGCCCGCGGCCCAUCAGCUAGUUGGCGAGGUAAAGGCNCAACCAAGGCGACGACGGGUAGCUGGUCUGAGAGGACGGCCAGCCACACUGGAACUGAGACACGGUCCAGACUCCUACGGGAGGCAGCAGUGGGGAAUCUUGCGCAAUGGGCGAAAGCCUGACGCAGCGACGCCGCGUGUGCGAUGAAGGUC
RNAcentral lists this ribosomal RNA (383 nucleotides) under uncultured bacterium. Its description in RNAcentral is "bacterial SSU rRNA". It matches the Rfam family "Bacterial small subunit ribosomal RNA", at positions 29 to 416 of the family's 1533-position model. The record is from RNAcentral.